AUUGAACGCUGGCGGCAGGCUUAACACAUGCAAGUCGAGCGGAGCGAGGGUGCUUGCACCUUAGCUUAGCGGCGGACGGGUGAGUAAUGCUUAGGAAUCUGCCUAUUAGUGGGGGACACCAUUCCGAAAGGCAUGCUAAUACCGCAUACGCCCUACGGGGGGAAGCAGGGGAUCUUCGGACCUUGCGCUAAUAGCGGAGCCUAAGUCGGAUUAGCUAGUUGGUGGGGUCAAGGCGUACCAAGGCGACGAUCUGGAGCGGGUCUGAGAGGAUGAUCCGCCACACUGGGACUGAGACACGGCCCAGACUCUUACGGGAGGCAGCAGUGGGGAAUAUUGGACAAUGGGCGGAAGCCUGAUCCAGCCAUGCCGCGUGUGUGAAGAAGGCCGUUUGGUUGUAAAGCACUUUAAGCGAGGAGGAGGCUACUUAGAUUAAUACUCUGGGAUAGUGGACGUUACUCGCAGAAUAAGCACCGGCUAACUCUGUGCCAGCCGCCGCCGUAA
Molecule: ribosomal RNA, 501 nt
Filed under: uncultured bacterium
Lineage: Bacteria
Description: partial 16S ribosomal RNA
Rfam family: Bacterial small subunit ribosomal RNA
Source: RNAcentral